This is a non-coding RNA of Pelobates cultripes (western spadefoot toad), 76 nucleotides long. Lineage: Eukaryota; Metazoa; Chordata; Amphibia; Anura; Pelobatidae. The record is from the annotation of a GenBank genome assembly.
GCGUGUGUGUGUGUGUGUGUGUGUGUAUGUAUAUAUAUAUAUAUAUAUAUAUACAUACACACACACACAUACACUG